UGCGCAGGCGGAACUUUAAGUCAGUGGUGAAAUCUUGCCGCUUAACGGUAAAAUUGCCAUUGAUACUGAAGUUCUUGAAUAUGGUUGAGGUAGGCGGAAUGUGUUGUGUAGCGGUGAAAUGCAUAGAUAUGACACAGAACGCCGAUUGCGAAGGCAGCUUACUAAGCCAUUAUUGACGCUGAGGCACGAAAGCGUGAGGAGCGAACAGGAUUAGAUACCCUGGUAGUCC
Molecule: ribosomal RNA, 229 nt
Filed under: uncultured bacterium
Lineage: Bacteria
Description: partial 16S ribosomal RNA
Rfam family: Bacterial small subunit ribosomal RNA
Source: RNAcentral